RNAcentral lists this transfer RNA (23 nucleotides) under Dracunculus medinensis (Guinea worm). RNAcentral's name for it is "partial tRNA-Leu". Lineage: Eukaryota; Metazoa; Nematoda; Chromadorea; Rhabditida; Dracunculidae. The record is from RNAcentral.
GGUUUGAUAGAUUUUUUAGUGUU